CUUCCUCCACAGUCCACACCCCAGGCCCAACCCCAUACGCUGUCCCAACCUCUUCCUCCACAGUCCACACCCCAGGCCCAACCCCAUACGCUGUCCCAACCUCUUCCUCCACAGUCCACACCCCAGGCCCAACCCCAUACGCUGUCCCAACCUCUUCCUCCACAGUCCACACCCCAGGCCCAACCCCAUACGCUGUCCCAACCUCUUCCUCCACAGUCCACACCCCAGGCCCAACCACAGGUACAACCCCAGGCCCAACCCCAGUCCACACCCCAGGCCCAACCCCAGUCCACACCCCAGGCCCAACCACAGGCCCAACCCCAAUCCACACCCCAGGCCCAACCCCAGGCCUAACCCCAGUCCACACCCCAGGCCCAACCCCAGUCCACACCCCUGGCCCAACCACAGACCCAACCCCAAUCCACACCCCAGGCCCAACCCCAGUCCACACCCCAGGCCCAACCACAGGCUCAACCCCAGUCCACACCCCAGGCCCAACCCCAGGCCCAACCCCAGUCUACACCCCAGGCCCAACCCCAGUCCACACCCCAGGCCCAACCCCAGGUACAACCAUUUUAAAACAUACAUUUCCAUACUUUUUUGCACAUACUGAUUGAAUUGUUAACUAUGUAUGCUGUUAGUAGAAUUGUACCUAAAAUGUCUGACAAUUUUUUGCCCUUGGAAGCCCGAAUGAAUAGACACCAUUAUCAUCGAGGACCACUUUGGAAACAAGUGUUUUAAUGUUUCAGUGUUAUCCUCUGCAAAUACACUGCACACCUUGCUGUAUGAUUUUAAACGAAAUAAAUUCACUUUAAAUUGGUGAAGGGUUACACAUCAAGUAAUAAAAUGUAAACUAGAGGACUCUUAUUGGCCAUUGACUAGAGUGUUCUUGUUAGGUUCAAACCUUCCAACUACCUUCCAAAGACGUCGAUCACCUGGGGGGAAAAACUAUGAGAAAAAAUCCACAGCUUGUGGAUACAUCUGUGGCGUUUCAGAGUUGAAGACGAGGGAUCAGGGGAAAUACUUUCAAGCAGUUCUACAGCAAGCGGAUAGGCCGAUGGACAUUCUCAUUUUGGAACCAGAGCAACGAAAAAGUUUUUCAGGAGCCGAGAAGAAGGUCUUCAGUUAAGCUGAAGAGAACCUCAUUUGAGAAACUUGGCAUAAACAAGUACAAAGAUGGAAUAAAGUUGAAACAAAUCCAAAUUGACUAUCGUGAAAGGCAAAAAGACUACAGAAGGAAGCCACUGCUGAGCAAAUAUAAGAAACAGUUUUAAUUAAAGAUGUUAGAACAUACUCUUUCACUGACAGUGUGUGGAGUUCAAUGUCCAGACCAAAGGGAAUUAAUGAAUUACCUAGCCUACAUUAUGUAAGUAGUUUUUUUUUAUUAGAAGUAGCCAUUAAAGCUGCACCGUAACAGCA
This 1419-nucleotide long non-coding RNA is filed under the name Salmo salar (Atlantic salmon). RNAcentral's name for it is "lncRNA (ENSSSAG00000117085.1)". Lineage: Eukaryota; Metazoa; Chordata; Actinopteri; Salmoniformes; Salmonidae. The record is from RNAcentral.